UGGGCUGUAGCUCAGUGGUAGAGCACUUGUCUAACAUGUGUGAGGUACUGGGUUCUAUCCUCAGCACCACAU
Ictidomys tridecemlineatus (thirteen-lined ground squirrel) is the source of this 72-nucleotide non-coding RNA. Lineage: Eukaryota; Metazoa; Chordata; Mammalia; Rodentia; Sciuridae. The record is from Rfam.